UACUUUUUGAAUAUGUCCCAAUGAUGUGGUUUGACCAAUCUAAGUUUCUGCAAGUUCUCCAAGUCCAAGUUUCUUUAUCUCGUACUCGCAGUACUUGGGUGGCUGAAUUAGCAUUUGAGUGUAAAUUUGUGCACGCAAACAGAAUAGAUGAAAAAAGUAGAAAACUUAUGUUUGAUACAGCUUUUAAGCAUCAAUUUGAUAUUAAGCACAGGGCAAGAUAUGGGCAGUUAAUAUUUUCUUUAACAAUUCUCACCCUUAUGAUAAUUUUAUUAUCACACAUAUUUAUUACCUUGCGUUUCUCGUUUGACUAACAGCCUGCCUAACAGCCUGCCUAGUGACCCCCUAGACAGCCCCUUUAUCACGGACUACACACAGGGCCGGAUUAAGAGCACAGUGGGCCUGGUGCUGACAAUUAUGAUGGGCCUAAUUACGGAAUCUUAUCGACCAAAAACACUAAAACAAUCAUACCUCCAAAGCUUCAUGUAUCUGAUGGAGAUGGUGCUGGAG
Pelobates cultripes (western spadefoot toad) is the source of this 507-nucleotide non-coding RNA. NCBI's taxonomy places the organism in Eukaryota, Metazoa, Chordata, Amphibia, Anura, Pelobatidae. The record is from the annotation of a GenBank genome assembly.